This 253-nucleotide ribosomal RNA is filed under the name uncultured bacterium. RNAcentral's name for it is "partial 16S ribosomal RNA". It matches the Rfam family "Bacterial small subunit ribosomal RNA", at positions 524 to 776 of the family's 1533-position model. The record is from RNAcentral.
UACGGAGGGUGCGAGCGUUAUCCGGAAUUACUGGGUUUAAAGGGUGCGUAGGCGGCUUGGUAAGUCAGGAGUGAAAGUUUGCGGCUCAACCGUAAAAUUGCUUUUGAUACUGCCAGGCUAGAAUUAGGAUGAGGACAGCGGAAUGUAGCAUGUAGCGGUGAAAUGCAUAGAUAUGCCAUAGAACACCAAUUGCGAAGGCAGCUGGCUAGACCUGUAUUGACGCUGAGGCACGAAAGCGUGGGGAGCGAACAGG